This 890-nucleotide ribosomal RNA is filed under the name Pocillopora damicornis (cauliflower coral). Its description in RNAcentral is "eukaryotic LSU rRNA". It matches the Rfam family "Eukaryotic large subunit ribosomal RNA", at positions 113 to 799 of the family's 3401-position model. Lineage: Eukaryota; Metazoa; Cnidaria; Anthozoa; Scleractinia; Pocilloporidae. The record is from RNAcentral.
AUUUGAAAUCUCCGAUGCUUGCAUCGGCGAGUUGUAGUUGCGAGAAGCACUUUCUAGGCGGAGGGGCCCUGCCUAAGUUGCUUGGAACGGCACGUCGCAGAGGGUGACAACCCCGUCUGUGGCAGGGCCGGCCGCCCACGAUGUGCUUUCGAAGAGUCGGGUUGUUUGGGAAUGCAGCCCAAAAUGGGUGGUAAACUCCAUCUAAAGCUAAAUACCGGCGUGAGACCGAUAGCGAACAAGUACCGUGAGGGAAAGAUGAAAAGAACUUUGAAAAGAGAGUUAAAAAGUACGUGAAACCGUCAGAAGGGAAACGAAUGGACUCAGCAAUGCUCCCUUCGAGAUUCAGCCGGUCGGCCUGCGCGCGGCUCGGGGUUUGCGGAUCCGAACGGACCGCGGUCCCGGGCGCGUGCCUCGCCACCGUCGCACUUCUCUUGGGCGCGCGUCAGCGUGGGUCGGAACUGGGCGUCGGAGGUGCCGUGGAAGGUAGGUCUGGAGUCUCGGCUCCGGACUGUUACAGCCCGGCUCCCGCGGCUCGGGUCCGACCGAGGACAGUCGCAGCGCGUGCCUCUUGUGGCUAGGGUCCCGUCCUUCCGGCCGGUCGUCGACCGUGGUGGACUGCUUGCAGUGCUCCGCGACUGCUGCCGGUCGUUGGGGCGGUGUUCUCGUACGACGCGCUUGGGACGCUGGCGGUCAUAUGGGUCCAUCCGACCCGUCUUGAAACACGGACCAAGGAGUCUAACAUGUGCGCGAGUCUUUGGGUGAGAGAAACCCCGAGGCGCAAUGAAAGUGAAGGCGACCUCGUGCCGCCGAGGUGAGAUCCGGUCCCCCUUCGGGCGGGGCCGGCGCAUCAUCGACCGACCUAUCCUACCCUUAGGAAGGUUUGAGUAAGA